RNAcentral lists this ribosomal RNA (460 nucleotides) under uncultured bacterium. Its description in RNAcentral is "bacterial SSU rRNA". It matches the Rfam family "Bacterial small subunit ribosomal RNA", at positions 28 to 492 of the family's 1533-position model. The record is from RNAcentral.
GACGAACGCUGGCGGCGUGCUUAACACAUGCAAGUCGAGCGGUAAGGCCCUUUCGGGGGUACACGAGCGGCGAACGGGUGAGUAACACGUGGGUGACCUGCCCUCAGCUCUGGAAUAAGCCUGGGAAACUGGGUCUAAUACCGGAUAUGACUCCAUGACGCAUGUUGUGGGGUGAAAGCCUUGUGCGGCUGAGGACGGGCCCGCGGCCUAUCAGCUUGUUGGUGGGGUGAUGGCCACCAAGGCGACGACGGGUAGCCGGCCUGAGAGGGCGACCGGCCACACUGGGACUGAGACACGGCCCAGACUCCUACGGGAGGCAGCAGUGGGGAAUCUUGCGCAAUGGCCUAACGGCUGACGCUGCGACGCCGCGUGUGGGAUGAAGCUCUUCGGAGUGUAAACCACUGUUGCCCGGGACGAACAGCUCGAUUUCUCGAGCCUGACGGUACCGGGUGAGGGAAGC